GGCCCUGAAGUGAAGAUCAUGUCAGAUUGCAAAUCUGGAGAAGCGGCUAAUUCCCGCCGGGGCUU
RNAcentral lists this transfer RNA (65 nucleotides) under Oreolalax omeimontis (Omei lazy toad). Its description in RNAcentral is "tRNA-Cys". It matches the Rfam family "tRNA". From Rfam's summary of the family: Transfer RNA (tRNA) molecules are approximately 80 nucleotides in length. Their secondary structure includes four short double-helical elements and three loops (D, anti-codon, and T loops). The record is from RNAcentral. Lineage: Eukaryota; Metazoa; Chordata; Amphibia; Anura; Megophryidae.